UUUCAGAUGUGAUGACCAACUUCUCUCUCUGACUUACUGGGGUGGAGCCCUUGGCCAAGUCUCCGUUCUGCACAUCCUCCCAACUUUGGUGUCCCUUGAGCCUUCCUUGGAAAACCCUCUCCAGCCUGCAUUGGACACAGACUUUGAGUUUGGCAUGACUUAGUUGGAGUCCCAGCUGUUCCCUUUGGUAGACAGUGUGAACUUUGCACAAGGUGACAAAAAAGAAGACACACAGAAACACAGAGGAGAAGGCCAUGUGAAGAUGGAAGCAGAGGUUAGAGUGAUGCAGCCAUAAGCCAAGAAAUGCCAGGGAGGAAGUUCCUCUACCCAGGAGAGAGGCAUGGAACGGAUUCUCCCCAAGAGUCUUCAGAAGGAAACAACCCUGCCCACACCUUGACUUUGGACUUCUGGCCUUCAGAACUGUGAGUGAAUAAAUUUCUGUUGUUUUAAGCCUCCACUUUGGUGAUAAUUUCUUACAGCAACCAUAGGAAAUAGAUGCAGUGCAGUGUAGGUAGGCUGUACAUGGCAAUGAGUCUGGUGAUGGGCAGAUAGUGAAGAGUAGGAUAUUUUGGCAAUCCGAGUUAUUUUUGUGAGUUCUAUUUGAUCAAGGACCAUUGUUUCUCUGUGUUGAUUUUUCAUAAACUCCAUCUACAUAACAUGAACAAGACUGGUUAAAAAAUUAAAAAAAAAAAAAGCGG
Molecule: long non-coding RNA, 698 nt
Filed under: Homo sapiens (human)
Lineage: Eukaryota; Metazoa; Chordata; Mammalia; Primates; Hominidae
Description: HSALNT0134493
Source: RNAcentral